CAGGCCCAAAGAGAGGAUGUGCUUAACCCCAGGCCACAGAGCGAGUUAACUAGUGAUGGACCCACAUUUAGCUCAUCCUUAUUUGCUCCCUGGCGCAUUCAUGUGGAUGAGUCUCAGGAUUUCUAAACCCAGCAGAGCCCAGACGGACACAUCAUCUUCUCCUCUUGGAGUUCAUGUCUUGAGUCAGGUUAAGUCCACACAGCCAGAUGCUCCCAACAGACCUGCAGCUGCCUGCAGAUGGCCAUCGUACCCCGGCCUCCCCAUUUGCCAGCUGGUCUCUCAGUUGCCUCAGCCCUUCCAUCUCCACUGAACAGGGUUCACAGCCCUUGCCCGCCAGGCACCCUUAUCUGAAGAGCUCCAAGCUGGGGUGGGUUUGGUCUUCUCCUGACCUCCGUCCGCUUCCUGGGGCCUGGAACAUCCUGAAGCUAGAACAAAACAGCUAAAGGCAGAAAAGGCGGCAAAUACUCGUUCAGUCAGAAGACAGGAAGACUAGCAGGAGGCUGACUCUGCGAGUAAGACCCACUGGCUUUAGAUUGGUGUUUCUUCCUGAGGCUGGGUCACACCAGGAAACCUUUGAUCCCUCCCUUCCCCUCCUCCCCAGAACCUGGAGCUUCUGUCUCCCACAGCCAGCAGUGGAACCAGUGGUGGCUGAGUAACUGAGGAACUGCAGGAGAGCCUCCAAGAAGAAGUGGAGAGAGGAGAAAAAGAGAGAGGACAGUUGAACAUUCUUCAGGAUCCAUAUGAGUGUGAGCACAUAUCCUCAUGUGCUGGCAUUUGACUGACUGACAGGUUAUGGAGGCCCAAUCUCUCUUUGGCGAUAAAGUGACAGAGGUCAGACCCGGAUAUAAUCUGCCGGGUUGAUUCCUAUAGGAGCAAGAGGAGACAAUCCCCUCCCUCCCUUUUUAGAACCCCAUACUUCUGUGAAUGCAA
Homo sapiens (human) is the source of this 930-nucleotide long non-coding RNA. RefSeq lists it as uncharacterized. The record is from RefSeq and is a predicted model, not a curated record. NCBI's taxonomy places the organism in Eukaryota, Metazoa, Chordata, Mammalia, Primates, Hominidae. The transcript has 3 exons.